This 590-nucleotide ribosomal RNA is filed under the name uncultured bacterium. RNAcentral describes it as "partial 16S ribosomal RNA". It matches the Rfam family "Bacterial small subunit ribosomal RNA", at positions 355 to 932 of the family's 1533-position model. The record is from RNAcentral.
UGGGGAAUUUUGGACAAUGGGCGAAAGCCUGAUCCAGCAAUGCCGCGUGUGUGAAGAAGGCCUUCGGGUUGUAAAGCACUUUUGUCCGGAAAGAAAUCCUUGGCUCUAAUACAGUCGGGGGAUGACGGUACCGGAAGAAUAAGCACCGGCUAACUACGUGCCAGCAGCGCGGUAAUACGUAGGGUGCAAGCGUUAAUCGGAAUUACUGGGCGUAAAGCGUGCGCAGGCAGCUUGGCUUGCAUAAGACCCGAUGUGAAAAUCCCCGGGGCUCAACCUGGGAACUGCAUUGGUGACUGGCAGGCUAGAGUAUGGCAGAGGGGGGUAGAAUUCCACGUGUAGCAGUGAAAUGCGUAGAGAUGUGGAGGAAUACCGAUGGCGAAGGCAGCCCCCUGGGCCAAAUACUGACGCUCAUGCACGAAAGCGUGGGGGAGCAAAACAGGAUUAGAUACCCUGGUAGUCCACGCCCUAAACGAUGUCAACUAGUUGUUGGGGAUUCAUUUCCUUAGUAACGUAGCUAACGCGUGAAGUUGACCGCCUGGGGAGUACGGUCGCAAGAUUAAAACUCAAAGGAAUUGACGGGGUCAUAGCUG